UUUCAGGCCACUGCCGCAAGAAUUGCAUCCCUUGCCCCCAGACAGGCACACAUCACUCCAUUACUCAAAUCUCUUCAUUGGCUUCCUGUUCACUUCCGUAUCAAGUUCAAGCUUCUGUCCCUGACCUACCAAUGUAUCUCUGGAUCAGCUCCAGUCUAUCUCUGCAACCUUCUUCAGACAUACCAGUCUGCUCGAACUCUCAGAUCCCAGACCAAGUCUCUCCUUGGUGUCCCAAAUACAAACACUGUCUGCUACGGUCACAGAUCAUUUGCAUAUGCCGCAGCAACUGAGUGGAAUAAUCUGCCCCAAGAACUCAAAGACUCCCAAACGUUGUCAUCCUUUAAA
Long non-coding RNA from Haliotis rubra (blacklip abalone), 345 nucleotides. RefSeq lists it as uncharacterized. The record is from RefSeq and is a predicted model, not a curated record. The transcript is spliced from 3 exons. NCBI's taxonomy places the organism in Eukaryota, Metazoa, Mollusca, Gastropoda, Lepetellida, Haliotidae.